Molecule: non-coding RNA, 71 nt
Organism: Infundibulicybe gibba
Lineage: Eukaryota; Fungi; Basidiomycota; Agaricomycetes; Agaricales; Omphalinaceae
Source: the annotation of a GenBank genome assembly
GCCCGGUAGCGUAGCGGUAACGCAGGGGCUUCAUGGCUCCCUAUAGCCCUGUUCAAGUCAGGGACUGGGUA